This 79-nucleotide transfer RNA is filed under the name Klebsiella variicola. Its description in RNAcentral is "tRNA-Val". It matches the Rfam family "tRNA". From Rfam's summary of the family: Transfer RNA (tRNA) molecules are approximately 80 nucleotides in length. Their secondary structure includes four short double-helical elements and three loops (D, anti-codon, and T loops). The record is from RNAcentral. RNAcentral also lists the same sequence under 1 other name. Lineage: Bacteria; Pseudomonadati; Pseudomonadota; Gammaproteobacteria; Enterobacterales; Enterobacteriaceae.
UGCGUUUAUAGCUCAGUUGGUUAGAGCACCACCUUGACAUGGUGGGGGUCGUUGGUUCGAGUCCAAUUAAACGCACCAU